Sinocyclocheilus grahami is the source of this 463-nucleotide long non-coding RNA. RefSeq lists it as uncharacterized. NCBI's taxonomy places the organism in Eukaryota, Metazoa, Chordata, Actinopteri, Cypriniformes, Cyprinidae. The record is from RefSeq and is a predicted model, not a curated record. The transcript is spliced from 2 exons.
GCCGCUCUUUUGCAAUCUUCACGUUCAUCACGCGAUCGAUCCCUCCGCUGUGUGUAGACGACGGCAUUAGCGCAGUGAAUCCCACAGUGAACAAGGCAAAUGCAGAGCCGGCAGAUGUCUGAGAGUGACCCUGUAGACAAAUAAUCGAGACCGGCCCACGUGUUUCCCUGCUGUAAACUAUUAUCCUCUCUCUUGUGUCUCCAUCUGAGCUCACAGACAAAGAUCGAUCGCUCUAUUCAUUGCACAGCACUAAUGUUUAGGCUGAAAGAAUGUUUCUGCAUUGCAUGCUAAUAAAGUACGGUAAGAUCACUCAUGCAUAAUGCGCUUUUAGCACAGCGCGUAAUGAUAGGGCUUUCCUGUGCGAUUGUGAUGUUAGGGCCCUAUGAUUUCCACGGUGCGGAGAACACGGACAGAGUCCGGUCAUAAAGAUUUCAGAGUCUGUCGUCUCUCUAAAUGAAGACAU